CACAAUCACAUCUAUCUUCAUUCUAUAAGCAGUUGUACCAUUAAUCAAUUCAUCACAACUUCAAUGUACAAUCAUCCUCACUGCUACUACAAACCUCACAAUGUGAAAGCAGCCACUAAUUGCAUGGAAAUUGCAUUUUCAUAACAAAAUUAAUAAAUAUAGCUCACAAGAUAAUUAUAUGCCCUACCAAAUGGAUACAAAAAAUAAAAAUUAAUCUACAGCAGAGGGUUUCUUUAUAGUAAAUACAGGUCCAGCAUUUAGCGGAAGGAGGCUCCAAUAAGAACCUCGGUAGUCUAUACAACAACUGUGCCACUUGAUUCUAUAAGAACCAACUGGAAAAUCAGAAACAUCAAGCAGGCAACUGGAAAAGCCUUGCCCUCUAUCAUUUAGCUCAAAACACACAAAUCUGUACACAGUCCCAUCGUCACUACUAGCAUCGUAAUCCCGACCACGUUUACAAUUGUCCGUCUUCUUGGCACGAUCAAUUACUUGGUGCCACAAUCUUUCAUUCAUUGCAAUCAUACUGGACAUUUCCCAAUCAUCGUAAUCCAACUGCAUUUGCCCUCUGGCUUCUCCACUUGAUUUAGGCUCCUGAAAAGAUGCACUAGAACAAAGAAUGCAAUAAAGCUUUGUCAUCCGAACUGCGAGAUUCAUUGGCACAUUCCUCAAUUGAAGACAAAGAUUUAUUGAUAGGUGGAAGCCUUGCAACACAGUCAACUCAUUUGAGUUUCUACUGUCUCCACUAAUCACAAUGAGCUCUGAACCAAUGCAUGGCCUUAAUUUAAAGAAAUACUUUGGGAUUCGGAAAGGGAUGUGCAUCCAUUCAGUGAUAGUCUUCAACACAAGCUGGAAACCAUCCUUGAUAAUGUGGAAUAAAAUCUCUUCAUUGUGCACUCCCCUAGUCUCAUUUUGCAAGCCAACAAUGCCAGAAACAGCAUAUUUACAAACAUUGAGAAUAUCUCUCACUUCACCGCCAGAAUUCAAUAUUUGAUUUCUAGGCUGCAAGUCAAAACAGUUUUUGGACUUUCCAUUGACCUCUAAAAGCAGAAACAAAUUAGAACAGAUCUCCUGGUCUAUAAGCCACAACCGUGAGGCUAAAUUCUGUAUUAACAUUCCUUGUAAAUAGUUCGUUGAGCUUUGCAGAUCACAUGGAGCUAAAAUUUCAUAGUCAGGCAACUUUGAAAUGAAAAGAGAAAAUCCAAUUGUGAAUGCCAGUAGUGAACAACUCAAUGCAAGUGCUGAAAUAAUUUUUGAACUUCUCCUGUCCAUGCCAAUGAAAGACAUGGCAAUUAGAUCAAAUUCUUGCGCUAGACUCUUCAAUUGAAACGAUGUUUGAGUAAUUUUCCGCAAACAGUCAAGGCACUCAACUGUAACACUUGUAUCAACCUGUACAUUGUUGCUAAUACUGCACUGGGCAAGUGGAAUGGUACCCAGAACUUUAAGUACAUGCACCACAGUUCUUAGGACCUUCCCUCUCAGAGCCAAAAACCAUCUCUGGAAACAACAUGAUUUUUCCAAAAUGGCAAUGGAUUUUAAUGUUUCCCCAGAGUAGUAAAGGCCAUGGUAAACCCCAACAAGCAAUUCGGUACUACUAGGCUCACUGAUAUUUCCAACAGCAACUUGGCCAAUUUCAUCAAGACUAUCCCCAAAAAAUGUGAUGCCAAAUUCUUUCAUCUUUAGCCAAUCCAUUAGCUUGGACCUGAGAUUUGGUAGGAGAAAAAGUAGAAUUUUCCCUUCAGACUCUGCAAAUUGAGCUAAUGCUUUUAACCAAUAAGAACAGGAAUCAGAUUGAACCUUACCUAUUAGUUGCCCAAAUAUGAAUGCAGCAGUGAUCCAUGCUCCCUGAUAUGCUGCAUAUAUCCCAGCUUUGUACACAGGCCAGUUAUCCCUCUCUAUUAACAUUUUCUCUACAAGUUCAAGAGAGAAAAUUUCAUGCUCACCUGACAGAUUACAAAGUGAGUUACCUAAAUUUCUACCAACACGACAAGGUUCCUCAUUUUUUUUUACCACACAACCGCAAAUAUUUUGAGAGUGCAACAGUACAGAGUAGAUGAUAUAUAUAUAUCGAUCAAAUAGUUUACAACUUUGCACCUGCUCAACCAAAAACUUAACUUGCUCAUGUAUUUCUGUAGUGAUGGCACUAACUUCAUUGAGAUUCUCAAUGCAAGUUACAGAAAACUUGAGGACAUUAUGUACCAAAUUCAAACUUAUGUACAUGCUCUUUUGUCCCCUAAAAUCAACAAGCUCAUGAACCGAUACACCUUCUUGCUUCGUAGUCAUGACAUUGUCAUGCAUAUCCAAAAGACAUUCAAUAAAUGAUCCAACUUUUUGCAGCACCAAGACACCUAGAUCAGGAUGUUCUCCAACGAGAAAAAGAAGAAGAUUGAGCAGGCUUUGAAAUUCCUGAAAUACUUUAGAAUUAUUCUGACUAACAUCCAAUAAUGGCUUGAACAUCAAGAUCAUCCGGUCCAUAAUCACUGAUAUGAUCCUCGUAGGCAGAGAAAAGAAACAAUCCCCAUCAGAUCCUACUUGCCUUCUUUCCCCAAGUCUUUUUGAUGCAUCCACAAGAAUUUGAAUUGCUAGCAUGCUCUCUGACAUUACAGGUGACUGAGCUGCUUUCUCAAUAAUGUUCAAUAGAAUGGUAAAAUCAAGCAUUUUGUCACAAGAAAGUUCAGGUAGUCCAUAUACAAGCGUCUGCAAAUUGAAUGUUAUGAUUCAAUGACUUCUAAAUUAUACAAUACUAAUAUACAAAUUCAUGGGAUGAGUUUAGAAAUGACCACCUGCAAAAUUUGUAAAGCUUCACAUUUCAUAGCUGAUGGAAGUUCAGUUUCAUCUAUAGUUCUGAGUAAUGUUCUGAUUGCAUGGGUACUAACAGAAGAGUGACAAAUUCCUUUCUUAAAUAUGAAAUUAAGGCACCUUAAUGCUGUUGCUUGCAACAUCAAAGUUUUCUCUCGGCUGAGAAACAACAAAAGUAAGUCCACCUGUUCAGAAAGAAGAAGGGUUGAUUUAGCAGCAAGUUUUGAGAGAGAAACCAGUAACGAAACCAAAAAAUCAUCUUCCGAAGAAUCUAAUACCAGUUGUAGGCCUAUCUUGUGAGCUCUAUUUGCAAUAGAAUAUGAGCACCCCAUUUUUGCAAAAACCCUUACUCCAGCUAAUCUUACGGCCACUGAUGUGUUAGGUGAAAUUAAAAUAUUAAGCAGCAUCUCCAAUACAACAGAUGCAAAGUCAGCGGCCAAAACACAAAAGCAACCUGCUGCAAAUAAAGCUGCUUUUACCUCCAAUAUUUCAGAGGAGACUAAACUGGAAAGUAGUAGGUAUCGUAUAUGAGCACUCUCUUUUGCAAAAUCAGCCCAGCAACCGAACAGAAUCAAAGCCAGCGCCCUUGACUCGACAUCUCCAGUAUCAAAAACAAUCUUUACUCUUUUCAAAAGCUCCAUUUGGUUGUGUAUCCUGGCCUUUGACAAAAUCCCUUCAUACCGUUUACCUUUCUUUUCUUUGUCAUUGUUCCUGAACACUGAUAAGAAAACCCUAACAACAGAAAGCCUUGUAUCCUUGUCACCCAAUCUAAAUGCAUCAGCAAGCCGUAAGAUGAUUGUAUUGGCAAAAAGUCUAUCUUCACCCAAAACUAAGCCAAACAUAUUGUAUACAGCCAUUGUGGGUUUGGGUUCUCUGUUCCACUGCUGCAAUCUUGAACCUAUCUGUUGUAUGGCCUUGACAGCUUGACCUGGCUUUUUGGAGCGAAGGGCCUUCUCAAGCUCAAUGCUCCAUUCCAUGGCACAAGCAGCAGAAAUUCUCUCCAUUACCGUUUCUUUCAAACCCACUUCCCUAAUGAUUCAAAUCAAAGCUUCGAUCAAAUUCCCACUACCUACCCACAAGCCGACAUCGACUUUUACCUUGGUGAGCAGAAGAAGUGAAGAACAGAAGAAGAAGAAGAAGAAUAGAGA
This 3944-nucleotide unclassified non-coding RNA is filed under the name Hevea brasiliensis (rubber tree). Lineage: Eukaryota; Viridiplantae; Streptophyta; Magnoliopsida; Malpighiales; Euphorbiaceae. The record is from RNAcentral.